Molecule: long non-coding RNA, 314 nt
Organism: Amphimedon queenslandica
Lineage: Eukaryota; Metazoa; Porifera; Demospongiae; Haplosclerida; Niphatidae
Exons: 2
Source: RefSeq, a predicted model, not a curated record
AUUUACUUUUGUUAUGUAGAGACAUGUGGAGGAAGAACAUCGAGUCAAAUGAGAAAGUAAAAGAAUACAAAAUGAAGAAAAGAUUAUUGCUGAAAACUCAGCUCAGUAAUCUUGAGUCAAAUCUUCAAAUACUCAAACAGCAAAUUAUUAACAAAACAAACUGACUUGAUCAUACUAGUACAUAAAGACACAUAAAACUAUGCUAAUAGGAAUUGAGUUAGCCAUUACACAUGUAUAUUAAUAAUAUUACCGCCAUACAUUGCAGCUGUACAUCUAUAAAUACUAUUGUAAGAUGAGGCAUGCUUCAUUUCUAA